Molecule: long non-coding RNA, 430 nt
Organism: Dermochelys coriacea (leatherback sea turtle)
Lineage: Eukaryota; Metazoa; Chordata; Testudines; Dermochelyidae
Exons: 2
Source: RefSeq, a predicted model, not a curated record
UCAGCCUAGAGAAUUGAUCACACCAUGAGCUAGUCUACAGUGGGUCUAGCACUGACAGCAAGGGAGGGCUCCUGGGAUCAAUUUCCCAGUCCACCACUGACUGAUACGGAAAAGGAAAGCAGUGCCACAUCUGGCAAGUGCAGACUGCACUCCCAAUGGUGGUGAGGGACAACGCUGGAGUGUCCUCAGACAGACAGAGUUUCAUGCAGUGAAGCUGCUCCACACAAGUUCCCAGCAUACCACAAAACUAGGAUUUCAGCUCAAGCAGACUUGUGACAGGUACCUGCCUAACUAACCUCUGCUUGCACAAGCAUUAGAUCUGCCAGAGUAUUUCCAGUUAACCAGAACUGUGUGAGGACAACACCUACUCCAUUUAUCCUCAACUGCAGCCUAUCAGUCCAUGAACACUGCAGCCAGUCAUUUUACACAG